GACGAACGCUGGCGGCGUGCUUAACACAUGCAAGUCGAGCGAACAGGUGAGGAGCUUGCGGCGCGCACGAGAGCCGCGCACGUGUGUGUAACACGUGUAUCACCUACUUAUAAGACUGGGAUCACCUGGGGACACCGGAGCUAGCACCGGAGGAUAUAUUGAAGCGCAGUGGGCAAUAGUAAGAGACGGCGGUGCUGGCACGUAUAGAUGCUUCCGCGCGGUAUUAGCUAGUUGGUAGGGUAACGGGUUACGAAGGCAACGAGGCGUAGCCGAGCUGAGAGAGUGAUCGCCCGCACUGGAGCUGAGACACCGUCCUGGCGCCUACGGGAGGCAGCAGUAGGGAAUCUUACGCAGUGGGCGGGAGCCUGACGGAGCAACGCCGCGUGAGUGAUGGAGGUCUUCGGAUCGUAAAACUCUGUUAUUAGUGAAGAACAAAUGUGUAAGUAACUAUGCACGUCUUGACGGUACCUAAUCAGGAAGCCACGGCUAACUACGUG
This 497-nucleotide ribosomal RNA is filed under the name uncultured bacterium. RNAcentral's name for it is "partial 16S ribosomal RNA". It matches the Rfam family "Bacterial small subunit ribosomal RNA", at positions 28 to 507 of the family's 1533-position model. The record is from RNAcentral.